CGUGUAGGCGGCUUUUUAAGUCUGGAGUGAAAGCCCCAUUUUCAAGGUGGGGAGUGCUUUGGAGACUGGAGAGCUUGAGUGCGGAAGAGGUAAGUGGAAUUCCCAGUGUAGCGGUGAAAUGCGUAGAGAUUGGGAGGAACACCAGUGGCGAAGGCGACUUACUGGGCCGUAACUGACGCUGAGGCGCGAAAGCGUGGGGAGCGAACA
Molecule: ribosomal RNA, 207 nt
Filed under: uncultured bacterium
Lineage: Bacteria
Description: partial 16S ribosomal RNA
Rfam family: Bacterial small subunit ribosomal RNA
Source: RNAcentral